RNAcentral lists this transfer RNA (65 nucleotides) under Nephrotoma tenuipes. RNAcentral describes it as "tRNA-Thr". It matches the Rfam family "tRNA". From Rfam's summary of the family: Transfer RNA (tRNA) molecules are approximately 80 nucleotides in length. Their secondary structure includes four short double-helical elements and three loops (D, anti-codon, and T loops). Further hydrogen bonds mediate the characteristic L-shaped molecular structure. tRNAs have two regions of fundamental functional importance: the anti-codon, which is responsible for specific mRNA codon recognition, and the 3' end, to which the tRNAs corresponding amino acid is attached (by aminoacyl-tRNA synthetases). tRNAs cope with the degeneracy of the genetic code in two manners: having more than one tRNA (with a specific anti-codon) for a particular amino acid; and 'wobble' base-pairing, i.e. permitting non-standard base-pairing at the 3rd anti-codon position. The record is from RNAcentral. Lineage: Eukaryota; Metazoa; Arthropoda; Insecta; Diptera; Tipulidae.
GUUUUAAUAGUUUAAUAAAAACAUUGGUCUUGUAAAUCAAAAAUAAAGAUAUUCUUUUUAAAACA